Molecule: ribosomal RNA, 465 nt
Filed under: Vreelandella stevensii
Lineage: Bacteria; Pseudomonadati; Pseudomonadota; Gammaproteobacteria; Oceanospirillales; Halomonadaceae
Description: partial 16S ribosomal RNA
Rfam family: Bacterial small subunit ribosomal RNA
Source: RNAcentral
CCUACGGGUGGCAGCAGUGGGGAAUAUUGGACAAUGGGCGAAAGCCUGAUCCAGCCAUGCCGCGUGUGUGAAGAAGGCCUUCGGGUUGUAAAGCACUUUCAGUGGGGAAGAAAGCCUUGGGGCUAAUACCCUCGAGGAAGGACAUCACCCACAGAAGAAGCCCCGGCUAACUCCGUGCCAGCAGCCGCGGUAAUACGGAGGGUGCGAGCGUUAAUCGGAAUUACUGGGCGUAAAGCGCGCGUAGGCGGUCUGAUAAGCCGGUUGUGAAAGCCCCGGGCUCAACCUGGGAACGGCAUCCGGAACGGUCAGGCUAGAGUGCAGGAGAGGAAGGUAGAAUUCCCGGUGUAGCGGUGAAAUGCGUAGAGAUCGGGAGGAAUACCAGUGGCGAAGGCGGCCUUCUGGACUGACACUGACGCUGAGGUGCGAAAGCGUGGGUAGCAAACAGGAUUAGAUACCCUUGUAGUC